UGGGGUGAUGGCCUACCAAGGCGACGACGGGUAGCCGGCCUGAGAGGGCGACCGGCCACACUGGGACUGAGACACGGCCCAGACUCCUACGGGAGGCAGCAGUGGGGAAUAUUGCACAAUGGGCGGAAGCCUGAUGCAGCGACGCCGCGUGAGGGAUGACGGCCUUCGGGUUGUAAACCUCUUUCAGCAGGGACGAAGCGAGAGUGACGGUACCUGCAGAAGAAGCACCGGCCAACUACGUGCCAGCAGCCGCGGUAAGACGUAGGGUGCGAGCGUUGUCCGGAUUUAUUGGGCGUAAAGAGCUCGUAGGCGGCUUGUCGCGUCGACCGUGAAAACUUGGGGCUCAACCCCAAGCCUGCGGUCGAUACGGGCAGGCUAGAGUUCGGUAGGGGAGACUGGAAUUCCUGGUGUAGCGGUGAAAUGCGCAGAUAUCAGGAGGAACACCGGUGGCGAAGGCGGGUCUCUGGGCCGAUACUGACGCUGAGGAGCGAAAGCGUGGGGAGCGAACAGGAUUAGAUACCCUGGUAGUCCACGCUGUAAACGUUGGGCGCUAGGUGUGGGGGACCUCUCCGGUUUCCUGUGCCGCAGCUAACGCAUUAAGCGCCCCGCCUGGGGAGUACGG
Molecule: ribosomal RNA, 622 nt
Filed under: Micromonospora sp. MP38-A10
Lineage: Bacteria; Bacillati; Actinomycetota; Actinomycetes; Micromonosporales; Micromonosporaceae
Description: bacterial SSU rRNA
Rfam family: Bacterial small subunit ribosomal RNA
Source: RNAcentral